UUGAACGCUGGCGGCAGGCCUAACACAUGCAAGUCGAGCGGAUGAAGGGAGCUUGCUCCUGGAUUCAGCGGCGGACGGGUGAGUAAUGCCUAGGAAUCUGCCUGGUAGUGGGGGAUAACGUCCGGAAACGGGCGCUAAUACCGCAUACGUCCUGAGGGAGAAAGUGGGGGAUCUUCGGACCUCACGCUAUCAGAUGAGCCUAGGUCGGAUUAGCUAGUUGGUGGGGUAAAGGCCUACCAAGGCGACGAUCCGUAACUGGUCUGAGAGGAUGAUCAGUCACACUGGAACGGAGACACGGUCCAGACUCCUACGGGGGGCAGCGGGGGGGAAUAUUGGAAAAUGGGCGAAAGCCUGAUCCAGCCAUGCCGGGGGGGUGAAGAAGGUCUUCGGAUUGUAAAGCACUUUAAGUUGGGGGGAAGGGCAGUAAGUUAAACCCUUGUUGUUUUGACUUUACCAACAGAAUAAGCCCCGGCUAACUUCGU
Molecule: ribosomal RNA, 482 nt
Filed under: uncultured bacterium
Lineage: Bacteria
Description: partial 16S ribosomal RNA
Rfam family: Bacterial small subunit ribosomal RNA
Source: RNAcentral